Molecule: long non-coding RNA, 7110 nt
Filed under: Podarcis lilfordi (Lilford's wall lizard)
Lineage: Eukaryota; Metazoa; Chordata; Lepidosauria; Squamata; Lacertidae
Rfam family: tRNA (bases 4141-4212)
Source: RNAcentral
GGACUUCUGAAGCAGUGGCCUUAUCAAGGCCAACAUAUUCUCCGACAGCCUCCUCCUGCCAACUGUGGCAAGGUCUUAUGUAAGCCUGACUGAAGCCCUCUUGAGGAGGUAAGGGUGCCAGGAAUCGGAGCCCACUUACAGGACAGUCAGCUCACAAGGCAAGGUCAGGUUUGGGGCUGGGGGAGUCGUUGAGAGAAGGAAAGCCUAGUUAGAGGCCAAUGCCAGGGACACACAGGAAGGUAGGUUUGCCAAAAGGGGCCCAGUCUGUGGUCCUCUAGCCUCAUGCUAUGCCCCCCCCAUUUAUGUAUAUUUCACCUGUGGCCCCCUUGGAAUAUCCUGGCGAAACACUGAUGUAGAUAACUAUGUUGAAAUAUGGCAUCCUUUUAUAAAAUACUUUACUGAUAACACUGAAGAAUUGCAACGACCUAAAUCACAGAUCGGACUUUGGCAAACUUAGAUUGAUCUGUCCUCAUUGGGGGGAGGGGGCGAGCUGGGAUUUUGUUUUUGUAUUUUCCCCUCUCUCUUUUUUUGUAAUUGCUAUAUACUGGAAAUUAAUAAAACUAUAUUUAAAAAGACAGUGGCCCAGCAGGUGUCUGUGGGAAAGCCACGAGCAAGAUCUAAACACGAGAGUACUCUUCCCACCUGCAGUUCCCAAUAUCUGGUGUUCAGAAGCAAACUACUUCUGACCGUGGAGGUAUGGAUGGUGGGAUUUGUAGUCUAGUAGCAGCUAGAGAGUGGGACGCAGGUGGUGCUGUGGUCUAAACCACUGAGCCUAGGGCUUGCUGAUCAGAAGGUCGGCGGUUCGAAUCCCCGCGACGGGGUGAGCUCCUGUUGCUUGGUCCCUGCUCCUGCCAACCUCGCAGUUCGAAAGCACGUCAAGUGCAAGUAGAUAAAUAGGUACCGCUCCAGCGGGAAGGUAAAUGGUGUUUCCGUGCGCUGCUCUGGUUCGCCAGAAGCGGCUUAGUCAUGCUGGCCACAUGACCCAGAAGCUGUCUGCGGACAAACACCGGCUCCCUCGGCCUAUAGAGCGAGAUGAGUGCCGCAACCCUACAGUCAUCCGUGACUGGACCUAAUGGUCAGGGGUACCUUUACCUUUAGCAGCUAGAGAGGGCCGCAUGUUUCCCCAGCCCUGGACCCUAUAGGGAGGUCCACUUCACAGAUCCACCCAGUGAGGUGGACAGGGCAAUUGACAAAAACGUAGGCCAUCAAAAAUUGUGCCAGUCUUCAAAGGUACCACAAGACCCUUUGCUGUUUAAGAACGUAAGAUGAGCCUGCUGAUAUUGAGCCACUAGCCCAUCCACUCCACUCAACCACCCCCUAUCACCUGCCACCCAAGGCAAGCCCUGGCCCCACUGACUGCACCGACACCUUGCUCAUUGGGUAACCUCUUCCUUUGUCCACCUGUUCAUUUGGCUGCUCCCUCAGCCCCAGCUUUCAGCAUCUGUCUCCACCGGCAUGUUGCCCUAAUGUGACAAAGAUGGUUGCCAAGGCAACAAUUUCAUUAAAGAAAAUGGCAGGGUUUUAAGCCCGUCUAAUUUCUCUAAGCAAAGUACAAAAAAAGAAGAGAAGAGAAGAGAAAGGAUACUCUGGGGCUGCAGAUUCCAGUGUUUCCGCACCCCCUGACGGAGUCCCAUAUGUCUCUUUUGAACCCCAAACCCUCUGAUCAAUCCAGGAUUUAAUCCCUCCUCCUCCUCCCCUUUCCCAGGCUGAUUCCCCAAGGAGCCAAUUCCCUUCCUCUCAUUUCCUGGGAAACUUUGUGAUGGCUUAAAAAAACGCAGAAGCCUGAACAUCUUCUCAUGGAACCAUGUGACUGGGUCAAGGCCUUUUAUCUGGCGGAGAUGCUGGAAAUUAGGGUAAGGGCUUCAUGGUCAAACGUGAGCGUGGUAAUUAAAAAAUAAAAAAGGGUAAGAAAUGUAUAUGCUACCAGGGAACCACUCCUACUCCCAUGACGGCUGUCGCUAAUUAUGAAAGGUUCAUCCAAUAUUAUUUAGGUGUGGGUUCAGGCCUAGUCUUGGGUCUGAGUCUCCCUUGGUCACCCUGAUGGAUGACGUUUGCAUGUGGGGCAAGGGGGGUGCAGCUUUGCUCCUGUUUCUUAAUGUCUCGUUGGCUUUUGACACCUGGACCGCGUCUUGGGGACACUGUGUUACAGUGGUUGCAGUCCUACCUACGGAACUGAGCCCAGAGAGUGCUUUUCAGCCCUCUGGUGGGUAGGUUACGGGGGGCCACAGGGCACAACCUUAUCUCCAAUGUUGUUUAAUGUUUAUAUGAAGCCACUGCGAGUGGCCACAAAGUUUGGGGGCAAGGCUGAUAGCUUUGCAUCAUAUGGUCCAGGUCAACACGAUGCAGCCCAAAUAUGGGUUGCCAUCUUCUGGGUCUGCACUCCUGUGUGAGUCACAUGACCAGCACAAGAUCACUGCCCCCCCCAUGCUUUUUCGGAGGCAGCACCCGAAAGCAUUGCAGCCUGGAAGAGUGCUUUCUUCAGGGCAGCGAUUUUGUUCGGCGCCUGACAAAUGUGUAUUUUCAGGCGCCAUGCCUGAAAAAAGUGCAGCCCACAUUUGUGCAAGAUUGCAGCGGCCGUUUGGCUGCUAUCCUGUCAUGAGAAGAACCGGGAUGUCCUGGUUUUUUUCUGGGACAGUUGAGGGGUAUGCAAACCCCAGCAUCUCCAGGUAGGCCUGGGAAUAUCCCUCCCUGCCUAAAAUCCCGGAGAGCUGCUGCCCAUCUGUGCAGGCAAUAUUGAUCUCUAUGGACCAAGGUUCUGACUGGGCGGAAGGCAGUUUCCUCUGUUCCCACCCACAUCUCAACUCCUUUGCAAAUCUGUCUCGGCGCAGCUGCUGUGAGUGGGCUGCACAUUUCCGCGAGGCCACCCUGGACUUGGGAGAUAAGAGAUGAGAGGAGGAAGUCGCUUGAGGUUAGCCGGGGGAAUGUCAACAGUCAGCUCUGGGGUCCGUCCUACCAAGCCGUAUCAGACGUGGGCAUUGCCCUUGUCUAGGGAAUAAUUAGCUGUUUGGAGGUUUCUGCUAUUUAUUUCCACUAAGUCAAGGGGCAAAGCAGAAGAUAAGCAUGUUCUUAAAAAAGAAAUGGUGGGGGGAUGGCCAUAUAUUUUUUAAUGAGAGACAUGAUGUUAAGAAGCUAAGAACAGCUUGGCUGCUCAAUGGCCCAUCUAUCCCAGCAUCCUGUUCUCACAGUGGCCAAACAGAUGCCUGUGGGAAACCCGCAAGUAGGAUUCGAACACAAGACCCCUCUCCCCUCCUGGGGUUUCCAGCAGUUGGUAAACUUGAGCCAGCAGUGCUGCAGAUUGGGACCCUUCCCUAGGCAGCCAGGAACGGGGACCUUGUGGUACCAAGAGAGCCACAGAUUUCAUACCCCUGAAUGAUAGUCUUUCUUGGCUGACGGUGCAUGCUCUACCUCUUUCUCAUAAGUUGCUACAUUAUUUUCCUUAAAAAACAAAACAAAACACCUUGGGGCAUAAGUGGAUGAAAUUUGCAGGCAAGUUAACUCCAUCUUAAGACAUGAUUCCUGCUAAAUUUCAGGAGGAUAACAGCAUUGGUUUCUCCACAUGGGCAGUUCGGAGUGAGUAAAACGGGAAUUUCUGGAUUUCCCCAUGUGUGUAAAAUCAAUAAGCCAACCAAGUACCUGUGGGAAACCCAUAAGCAGGACCCGAACACAAGAGUGCUCUCUUUCUGUGGCUUCCAGCAACUUGUAUUCAGCAGCAUUACAGUGGUACCUCUGGUUACGUACUUAAUUCGUUCCGGAGGGCCGUUCUUAACCUGAAACUGUUCUUAACCUGAAGACCACUUUAGCUAAUGGGGCCUCCUGCUGCUGCCGUGCCGCCAGAGCACGAUUUCUGUUCUCAUCCUGAAGCAAAGUUCUUAACCCGAGGUACUAUUUCUGGGUUAGCGGAGUCUGUAACCUGAAGCGUAUGUAACCUGAAGCAUAUGUAACCCGAGGUACCACUGUAUUGCUUCAGACCAUGGAGGCAACACAUAUCCAUUAUGGCUACUAGCCAUCGAUAGCCCUCUCCUCCAUGAAUGUGUCCAAUCUUCUUUUAAAGCCCUUUAAGUUGGUGGUCAUCACUGCCUCCUGUGGGAGAGAGUUCCAUAGUUCAACUAUGUGCAGUGCGAAGAAGGACUUUCUUUUAUUCCCAGGAUAGCUCAGUCGGUAAAGCAUGAGACUCUUACUCUCAGGUUCGUGGGUUCGAGCCCCCUGUUGGGCAAAAGAUUUCUGCAUUGCAGAUGGUUGGACUUAGACGAUCCUUGUGGUCCCUUCCAACUCUACAGUUUCUAAUCUUCCAAUACAGUGGUACCUCAGGUUAAGUACUUAAUUCGUUCCGGAGGUCCGUUCUUAACCUGAAACUGUUCUUAACCUGAAGCACCACUUUAGCUAAUGGGGCCUCCCACUGCCUCCCCGCCGCCGGAGCAUGAUUUCUGUUCUCUUCCUGAAGCAAAGUUCUUAACCCGAGGUAAUAUUUCUGGGUUAGCGGAGUAUGUAACCUGAAGCGUAUGUAACCCAAGGUACCACUGUACUCAGUUUGAUUGGAUCUCCACGAGUUCUGAUUUACUGGCUACAAUCUUCCCUGUGCACUAGAGUCCACAGCUGUUAAGCUGAUACUUGUGACCUCAGGAUUUAUUCCACAUGCUUCUGUUAAGUUCAGUGUUCUCUGAGCUAUGCAAAGUACAUCCAAAUCUUCCUUCUUUUUUUAUUAUUCCUAGGCCUCAGCAGGGGAGGACUUAAACCCCCCCAGCCAAAAAAGUGGAACAGUCUAGGGCUCUCCCCAAGCUAGGUUGGUCUAUGGUGGUAGCCAUCAAAACACUUUUCAUGGGGGCGUUUACAAAGGAAGCGGGGCGGGGGGGAGAUCCACCAGUAGGAAAAAGCUUCCAACUGCACCACACUCAGUUCCACAGGCUAUUUCUGAAACAAAAAAUGAGGGCAGUUCUUUACCAGUAAUCAAGAACAGGUGAGGCUGGUAUACACACUCUUGGGCUUACAUUGUAAAUCACUUUGAGAUUCUUCAUGGGAAGCAACUCUCAAAAAAUUAUUAUUAUUAUUAUUAUUAUUAUUAUUAUUAUUAUUAUUAUUAUCCUAACUCACAGGACUGUUGUAAGAGGGAAAGUGGGGGAAUCAUGCAUGCUGGCUCAAAUUUCUUGGGAGAAAAGUUGGAAUAUAUAUAUAAUAAGAUCAUUAUGAAAAGCUGGUUAUUGGUGUUAAUGCUGAGUCAUGGAAUGUGCAAAGUAAAUUUCUUUCCGUUGGCACUGAGGAAAGUUCCCUUGGCACGGUGUGUCAAGUAAUGGGUGGCAUCUGGCCGGCUCAACAUCCCUGAAGCAAUACAGAUUAUGGAAGCCUAUUGAAUCAACGCCCGGGCACCAAAGCUACAUUUGUGUGCAGCCUUUAAACUGAAAUGACCCCAAUUAUUUUGCAUUCUCUUAGUUUGUGCCUUGGUUUUUUAAAAAAAUGAGUCUACUCAAGCCCAAGUUCUCUGAGGGCUUCCAAAGAUUUUGCAGAUGGAAGUCAGGGCAGAAAUGCUGAUGAGAAGGUAGGCCCAGUUCUGAAUGAACUCAGCUUGAACAAGUCCAGUCAAGCCAGAGUUGGACUGGGCCUGAACAUUGGUUGCAAUUCGGAUCAGGUCCUUCCCCCAUCACUUGGAAGUUUCUACAGUCCAGAGUCCCUCCACCCCUUCCACUCACUGUGCACCUGCUUUUUUUUAAAAAAACCUAACUACUAUUGUGGGACGCGGGUGGCGCUGUGGGUUAAACCACAGAGCCUAGGACUUGCCGAUCAGAAGGUCGGCGGUUCGAAUCCCCGCGACGGGGUGAUCUCCCGUUGCUCGGUCCCUGCUCCUGCCAACCUAGCAGUUCGAAAGCACGUCAAAGUGCAAGUAGAUAAAUAGGUACCGCUCCGGCGGGAAGGUAAACGGCGUUUCCGUGCGCUGCUGUGGUUCGCCAGAAGCGGCUUAGUCAUGCUGGCCACAUGACCCGGAAGCUGUACGCCGGCUCCCUUGGCCAAUAAAGCGAGAUUAGCGCCACAACCCCAGAGUCGGUCACGACUGGACCUAAUGGUCAGGGGUCCCUUUACCUUUACUAUUGUAAAUGUAAAAAGCUGCAGCUUUACUGAAUACAACCAAAGGAAACAUUCCCCAGCUCCAAACAUUUACCCAGCCCCAAUUUUAACCUCUCGAUCCUUCCUGACGGCAAGCAAAGAAAUCAGAAAGAUAAAAAUCAGAAUUGUAGAACCCAGAGCUACAGCAGUCAGAGUGGUUUAACAAUACAGCUCACUUCCCAGGGAAUUCUGGGAACUAUUAGGGGGUUUCCUAACCACUUCCAGGACCCUUAUUGAACUACAACUCCCAUAAAUCUUUGGGGAAGCCGUGACUGAUUAAAAUGGUAUCAUAGUGCUUUAAAUGCAGGAUGUGAACAUGGUGACUGAGGCAGAUGGUUGGUGUUGUUAUCCCUAAUGUAUAUGCACAUAACAAAGUUAAACCAUACUUUAAUAAAUUUAUCGGGCUUUGAAAUGCUGCGCAAGAUGCUAAACUUAUGUAUCCACUUUUCCAUAAAUGUACCAAACAUAUUCCAUAAACAGAGCAAACCUUUGGGUGACAGUAGGUUAAGGGAGCCCCUUCCAGGUUUCCCCAAUAUUUAGCUAUAGAAAGGUGAGCUUCCAUUAAAAGAUGCCUUAUUAUUUUUUGCUGUUUUCCUCUUGUUGCUAAACAGGUGACAGUGAAGGGAGAGCAUCGGAAGCAGGAUAUUACCCUGAUAGUGGAUCCGAGGGGAUAAAAUAACUCUUCAUUUAAUAUGUGGUCAUGUCCUCUUCUGAAUACCAGUUUCUGGAGACCACAGGAGGAGAAAGCACUCUUGAACCCAAAUCCUGCUUUCGGAUUUCCCGUAGGGGCACCUGGUUGGCCACUGAGAACAGGAUGAUGCUGGGCUAGCUGGACCACUGGCCUGAUCUAGCCGGGAUCUUCUUAGGUUCUCUUCUGGUCUUAUGGAGGAGCCCACAGGGCAAGUCAGCACCAUGGAGAGCUCCUCAAGGGCAACAUGAUCCAACGAGGGCUGGAAGGAAACUCAGGCCUUUUCAGCCCUUGUCUUCAGCCCUGACUUCAGCCCACCUCUCCUAGCC